UGGGGAAUCUUGCACAAUGGGGGCAACCCUGAUGCAGCGACGCCGCGUGAGCGAUGAAGGCUUUCGAAUCGUAAAGCUCUGUCCUAUGGGAAGAUAAUGACGGUACCAUAGGAGGAAGCCCCGGCUAACUACGUGCCAGCAGCCGCGGUAAUACGUAGGGGGCGAGCGUUGUCCGGAAUUACUGGGCGUAAAGGGUUCGCAGGCGGCAUGGCAAGUCGGAUGUAAAAGGCGAAGGCUCAACCUUCAUAAGCAUCGGAAACUGUCAAGCUUGAGUGAAGGAGAGGGGAGUGGAAUUCCUAGUGUAGCGGUGGAAUGCGUAGAUAUUAGGAGGAAUACCGGUGGCGAAGGCGACUUGCUGGACUUCAACUGACGCUGAGGAACGAAAGCGUGGGUAGCAAACAGG
This 403-nucleotide ribosomal RNA is filed under the name Verrucomicrobiota bacterium. RNAcentral describes it as "Verrucomicrobia bacterium partial 16S ribosomal RNA". It matches the Rfam family "Bacterial small subunit ribosomal RNA", at positions 355 to 776 of the family's 1533-position model. The record is from RNAcentral. Lineage: Bacteria; Pseudomonadati; Verrucomicrobiota.